UCGCCUGUUUACAAAAAAAAUCGCCUCUUGAAUAACUAUAAGAGGUCCAGCCUGCCCAGUGACUUUGUUCAACGGCCGCGGUAUCCUAACCGUGCGAAGGUAGCGUAAUCACUUGUCUUUUAAAUGGGGACUUGUAUGAAUGGCAUCACGAGGGUUAUACUGUCUCCUUUUUCUAAUCAGUGAAACUAAUCUUCCCGUGAAGAAGCGGGAAUAAACAUAUAAGACGAGAAGACCCUAUGGAGCUUUAAACUCAAUAACAAAUACUAGCCUUACCUCAACCUUCAGAGUAUUAACCUUAAUUUUAGUAUCAUGAUUAUUAGUUUUAGGUUGGGGUGACCGCGGAGUAAAAAUUAACCUCCACAUUGAACGGGACCUGUCCCUGAGCCAAGAACCACAGCUCGAAGCACCAACAAAUUGACAUUAAUUGACCCAAUAUUUUGAUCAACGAACCAAGUUACCCUAGGGAUAACAGCGCAAUCCACUUCAAGAGCUCCUAUCGACAAGUGGGUUUACGACCUCGAUGUUGGAUCAGGGUAUCCCAGUGGUGCAGCCGCUACUAAAGGUUCGUUUGUUCAACGAUUAAACCCU
RNAcentral lists this ribosomal RNA (588 nucleotides) under Osteocephalus taurinus (Manaus slender-legged treefrog). Its description in RNAcentral is "partial large subunit ribosomal RNA". It matches the Rfam family "Bacterial large subunit ribosomal RNA", at positions 1796 to 2597 of the family's 2925-position model. Lineage: Eukaryota; Metazoa; Chordata; Amphibia; Anura; Hylidae. The record is from RNAcentral.